GCUAUACAUGCAAGUCGAGCGAACAGAUAAGGAGCUUGCUCCUUUGACGUUAGCGGCGGACGGGUGAGUAACACGUGGGUAACCUACCUAUAAGACUGGGAUAACUUCGGGAAACCGGAGCUAAUACCGGAUAACAUUUGGAACCGCAUGGUUCUAAAGUGAAAGAUGGUUUUGCUAUCACUUAUAGAUGGACCCGCGCCGUAUUAGCUAGUUGGUAAGGUAACGGCUUACCAAGGCGACGAUACGUAGCCGACCUGAGAGGGUGAUCGGCCACACUGGAACUGAGACACGGUCCAGACUCCUACGGGAGGCAGCAGUAGGGAAUCUUCCGCAAUGGGCGAAAGCCUGACGGAGCAACGCCGCGUGAGUGAUGAAGGGUUUCGGCUCGUAAAACUCUGUUAUUAGGGAAGAACAAAUGUGUAAGUAACUGUGCACGUCUUGACGGUACCUAAUCAGAAAGUCACGGCUAGCUACGUGCCAGCAGCCGCGGUAAUACGUAGGUGGCAAGCGUUAUCCGGAAUUAUUGGGCGUAAAGCGCGCGUAGGCGGUUUCUUAAGUCUGAUGUGAAAGCCCACGGCUCAACCGUGGAGGGUCAUUGGAAACUGGGAAACUUGAGUGCAGAAGAGGAAAGUGGAAUUCCAUGUGUAGCGGUGAAAUGCGCAGAGAUAUGGAGGAACACCAGUGGCGAAGGCGACUUUCUGGUCUGUAACUGACGCUGAUGUGCGAAAGCGUGGGGAUAAA
RNAcentral lists this ribosomal RNA (741 nucleotides) under uncultured bacterium. Its description in RNAcentral is "bacterial SSU rRNA". It matches the Rfam family "Bacterial small subunit ribosomal RNA", at positions 48 to 771 of the family's 1533-position model. The record is from RNAcentral.